Salvia splendens (bonfire salvia) is the source of this 628-nucleotide long non-coding RNA. RefSeq lists it as uncharacterized. The record is from RefSeq and is a predicted model, not a curated record. Lineage: Eukaryota; Viridiplantae; Streptophyta; Magnoliopsida; Lamiales; Lamiaceae. The transcript has 2 exons.
CUUCCCUAUACAAAAAUAGUCUCUCCUCCUUUCACUAUAAAUACACCGAUCCGCAAUUUCCCCCUCUUUCCGCGAAGAAUUUUACGCCUUUCUAUCAGAUUCAAUUCCAACAAUUCUCUGAUUCAUCGCGGAAAUUAACUCAAUUUCAAUCUCAAUCAAUCAUGAAGAAAUCGUGCGCCAUCGCCGCCUACGUUGCCGCUUCCGCCUCCGCGAUCUCGUCAGCGUCGUCUCCCAAAGUUUACUUUCCUCGCGAGAAUGAGCGGCCGAAGAAAAACAGCGAGAAGUCGGCACCGCAGGGAUCGUCUUCUUCUGAAAAAUUCGCGCCGAGGUUUGAUGGAUUGAGAUUCAUAGAGACGCUGGUGACAGCUCAUAGAUAAGAUCAACUGCCUGUUUUUAUUUUUUAUUUUUCUUUUAUUUUCCCCCUAUUUUUGGUCCCAGCAAUUAUUUGAAAAAACGUACUGUAAUUAAAAUGUUUGGAGUUUGAUUAUUGAGGGACCAGAUGAUUUUUAGGCUUCGUUAGGCUGAUUUUAUUGUUGUAUUUGUACACUUGCUAGAGAAGCACUCUGUAUUGAUAUAAGAAUGUAUUUUUAGUUUGAAAAUGAGAGCAUUUAGUUACUUGCUUCUCUAA